CCUACGGGUGGCAGCAGUGAGGAAUAUUGGUCAAUGGCCGGAAGGCUGAACCAGCCAAGCCGCGUGAAGGACGAAGGUGCCAAGCAUUGUAAACUUCUUUUGUCAAGGGACAAAAUCAGGCUCGAGAGCCUGACCGAGGGUACUUGAAGAAAAAGCAUCGGCUAAUUCCGUGCCAGCAGCCGCGGUAAUACGGAGGAUGCGAGCGUUGUCCGGAUUUAUUGGGUUUAAAGGGUGCGUAGGCGGAAGGUAAAGUUAGCGGUAAAAGGUCGGUGCUAAACACCGGCCUGCCGUUGAAACUGGUGUGCUUGAGUGAGCGGGAAGCAUGCGGAAUGCGUGGUGUAGCGGUGAAAUGCAUAGAUAUCACGCAGAACUCCGAUUGCGAAGGCAGCAUACUGGCGCUCAACUGACGCUGAGGCACGAAAGCGUGGGGAGCGAACAGGAUUAGAUACCCCUGUAGUC
RNAcentral lists this ribosomal RNA (459 nucleotides) under uncultured bacterium. Its description in RNAcentral is "partial 16S ribosomal RNA". It matches the Rfam family "Bacterial small subunit ribosomal RNA", at positions 338 to 795 of the family's 1533-position model. The record is from RNAcentral.